CCUACGGGAUGCAGCAGUGAGGAAUAUUGGUCAAUGGACGAGAGUCUGAACCAGCCAAGUAGCGUGAAGGAUGACUGCCCUAUGGGUUGUAAACUUCUUUUAUAUGGGAAUAAAAUGUUCCACGUGUGGGAUUUUGUAUGUACCAUAUGAAUAAGGAUCGGCUAACUCCGUUACCGCCGCCGCGGUAAUACGGAGGAUCCGAGCAUUAGCCGGAUUUGUUGGGUUUAAAGGGGGCGUAGGUGGAUGUGUAAUUCAGUUGUGAAAGUUUGCGGCUCAACCGUAGAAGUGCAGUUGAAACUGGCAGUCUUGAGUACAGUAGAGGUGGGCGGAAUGCGUGGUGUAGCGGUGAAAUGCUUAGAGAUCACGAAGAACUCCGAUUGCGAAGGCAGCUCACUGGACUGCAACUGACACUGAGGCUCGAAAGUGUGGGUAUCAAACAGGAUUAGAUACCCCUGUAGUC
RNAcentral lists this ribosomal RNA (460 nucleotides) under uncultured bacterium. RNAcentral's name for it is "partial 16S ribosomal RNA". It matches the Rfam family "Bacterial small subunit ribosomal RNA", at positions 338 to 795 of the family's 1533-position model. The record is from RNAcentral.